RNAcentral lists this ribosomal RNA (253 nucleotides) under uncultured bacterium. Its description in RNAcentral is "partial 16S ribosomal RNA". It matches the Rfam family "Bacterial small subunit ribosomal RNA", at positions 524 to 776 of the family's 1533-position model. The record is from RNAcentral.
CACGUAGGGCGCAAGCGUUGUCCGGAAUUAUUGGGCGUAAAGAGCUCGUAGGUGGUUUGUUACGUCCGCUGUGAAAUCCUAGGGCUUAACCCUGGGCUUGCAGUGGAUACGGGCAGACUAGAGUGUGGUAGGGGAGACUGGAAUUCCUGGUGUAGCGGUGAAAUGCGCAGAUAUCAGGAGGAACACCGAUGGCGAAGGCAGGUCUCUGGGCCACUACUGACGCUGAGAAGCGAAAGCAUGGGGAGCGAACAGG